This 118-nucleotide ribosomal RNA is filed under the name uncultured eukaryote. Its description in RNAcentral is "partial 18S ribosomal RNA". It matches the Rfam family "Eukaryotic small subunit ribosomal RNA", at positions 1299 to 1458 of the family's 1831-position model. The record is from RNAcentral.
UGGUGGAGUGAUUUGUCUGCUUUAUUGCGUCAACGAGCGAGAUCUUUGUCAGCUAAAUAGAUUAGAUUCUUCUUAGAGAGACUCCACGUAAAAACGUGAGGAGGUAGAGGUAAUAACA